CAGACGUCGCGAGCGCACGAACCCCAACCGUCCGAUCCGUCUCGAUACUCGUCGUUCACCUCCCACACCUUAUCCAUUCAUCCAACCUCACACGCGCCGUCCCACCGGGCGACGCGCCCCUCCGCUGCGCUCCUCCUCCCAUUGACGCGCGCCACGCCAAGCACACCCCCGGUCGCCUCCUCUUCUUGCCCACUCCCGGCGACGAGCGCCGCGCCCAGCAUGCGCCCAGCCGUCCCCUCCUCCUGCUUCCUCCUGGUGAUGCACGCGGCGCCCGGCAGGGCCUGCUCCCCCGGUCCCCUGCGCCGUUGGUCGCCAGCUCAAUCUACCUCCCUCCGGCGUGGGCUUUCCCCGUAGGUUGUGUUGUGCGAGCUCUGCGCAUUAGGUCGGCCAUCUCUCUCUUGAUUUCGCAAGGUCUACCAUCUCCCUCUCUUGAUUUCGUAGUUCAACUUGAUUGUUGACCAAGCCAAUUGCCCAGGACCACCAAAAACAGGAGCAGACGCCGCCGGCAGCAAGACACACACACACACAGCUGGCCUUCAAGGCGCCGCAGCUUGCAGUAUGCUGCACCAAAUUCAGCUGAGUGCCCGUAAGCAUGCAGCAUUUGCCCCCACCACCCCGUCCCCUUCGACCCAGACUUGGUGUUUCUGCCACCCGUAGUGACGGCUGUUUCUUCUAUUGCUCCAACCAACCACGAGUUGCUCGCUUCAUAGGAAACGUUACUCCUCAUAAUCCAUCACUUCAAAAUCCUAAUUAGGCAACUUUCUCUUCAUUUCAGUUGACACAUAGUUUCUCUUUCAUUCUGAACACUCCCCGUGCAUCUCCUAAUGAGCCUCUGUUUUUUAACAUCCUAGUUGUUACUGUACAAAACUAAUGCCUACUAUCAUGGAACUACUUGUGAAUAGUUGCUCCAGUUUUUAACAUGGUUGCCUAGAAUUAAAGGCAAAGUUGCUUUAAUUUUUAUGGAAUUGAUAAGUGCUUCUUCUAGUUAUCUUCAUUCUACCAUUUUUUUGUGUCAUUCACGAACUGAUUCUUACUGUCAGGGAGAUGUUUGCAACUAGUUGCUCCUGUUUUUAUCACGAGUUGCCUACAAUUACAGUUAGAGUUGCUUCAGUUACAGUUAGAAUUGUAGGCAUUCUAUCUGUAUAUUUUCAAUGAUCGAUCUGUGACGUGCUCAUUCGAAUGGAAGCUAUCUCUUGGCCAAUCGGGCGAUUAAUUUGUGUGGCAGUAUCGUCGAAUGAUUUUUUGGCCCUGCUAUUCUUGGUUGCAUAUGUUAGUUAAGAAUUUCCUUUGGAUCCUGUACAUAGCCACAUGGUCUUCCAUUUAUUUUUGCCUGUAGUCGUCGUCUGGUUGAUGAAUAUGUAGAACAACGUGUGAUUUUGGAAAAAUUAUCACACAACAAAAACACACAGUAAAAGAUACCAUACUUGCCGUACAUAGUCUGCAUCCUUUGUUUAUGCACAAUACAUGAAAGAUGAUAUAGUUGCCUAUAAUUAAUCAUACGGUUGCCUAAAACCAUGUAUCUCAUUGCCCAAUCUCAUGAACAGAAACAUUACCAAGACCACGAUUUGGCCAACAUCUAAUGGUUUUAGAUACCUUUCAAUUAAGUUUGUGUCAUAGUGGUGUGUCAAGAAUUUCUUCUCUUCGGGUGGGAUCCCUUGGUAUGAUCAUAAACACUUGCCGAAUGAUCAUAGAGGGUGGCGGGGUGGAGUUGGUAAUGGGGACAUAACUAAAACCAUGAAGUUUUUUAUGAGAUUAAGUUUAUCUGUGAACCCCUAAAAAGCAAAUAUGUGUGUGUUCUUUAUCCCUUUUUCGGGUGUCAUGGUUGCGCACAUUCAACUAUACAGUUUCCUAGAACCAUGUAUCCAGUUGCCCAAUCCUCAUGAACAGAAACAUUAUCAAGACCAUAAUUUGGCUUAUAUGUAAAGGUUUUAGAUACCUUUCAAUUAAAAUUGUGGCAUAGAGAUGCAUCAAGAAUUUCAUCUCCUCAGGUUGGAUCCCUUGGUAUGAUCAUAAAUACUAGGCGAAUGAUCAUAGAGGGGGGGGCAGCGUGGAGCUGGUCAUGGGGACAUAACUAAAACCACGCAGUGUUUUUAGGGGAUUAACUUUAUUUGUAACCCCCUCCAAAACUGAACAUGUGUAUGUUCUUUAUCCCUUUUCUAGGUGUCAUAGUUUCCUACAAUCAACCAUAAUGUUGCACAAAAUCAUGUAUUCAGUUGCCCACAAUCAACCAUACAGUUGUCUAAAAUCAUGUAUCCAGUUGCCCACAAUCAACCAUAUAGUUGUCUAAAACCAUGUAUCCAGUUACCCAAUCCUUAUGAACAAAACAAUUAUCAAGACCAUAAUUUGGCUAAUAUGAAAAGGUUUUAGAUACCUUUUCAAGUUUGUGCCAUGGAGACGCGUCAAGAAUUUAUCUCCUCAGGGUGGGAUCCCUUGGUAUGAUCGUAAAUACUUGGCGAAUGAUCAUAAAGGGGAAGCAGGGUGGAGUUGGUCAUGGAACUAAAACCGCGAACUAUUUUUAGAGGAUUAAAUUUAUCUGUGAACCCUCCAAAAAUGAAUAUUUGUAUGUUCUUUUACCCCUUUUCAGUCAUAGUUGCCCACAAUCAAUAAUACAGUUGCCUAAAGCCAAGUAUCUAGUUGCCCACAAUCAAUAAAUAGUUUUCCUAAAACCAUGUAUCCAGUUGCCCAAUCCUCAUGAACAGAAACAUCACCAAGACCAUUAUUUGGUAAAUAUCUAAAGGUUUUGCAUACCUGUAAUUAUGUUUGGGUCAUAGAGGUAGAGUCAAGAUUUUAGAGGUGUAGCUAGUCAAUUGGUGUCAUGGUACCAACUUACAAGGAUCAUCCGCUGAUAGGUAGUCAUACUACGAAAAAAAAUGAGUUGCUUUCCUGUAACACUAAAGUUGCCUCUAUAGCACACAAAGUUGCUCGGAAAAAAAGUUUGUCGAAACCUACUCAUAUGGGAUCUAGUUUUGAAGAACUCGUCGCGAGAAACCCAACGGUGAAAACGGAUCUGAAUUUCGACACCCGAAUCAAAAGUUACAACUUUUUAAAGUUUUUGAUCCCAUAAUAAAUGCAGGUGGGAUAUAUAACGUUGAGCACAGGGGACAUGACGUUUUCCUUUUCUAGGUCUUCCUGCGGGAUGCGUGGGUGCUCUUUCCUAUUAUGGGAGAGCGCUCGCUCCCCCGACUGGGCGCUUGGGCGCCGCCUAGUCGCGUCCUUGUUUAUUUGUUCGAAAACUGCCGUUGUGGGUAGCGGAUGUUUUGGUUAUCUGCUUGAUUGUUCAAUCCUCGAAGUGACGCGAGCACGCAUGAAUCGGAAGGCUAGCAUUAUUUCAUUUUCAAAUCACGAUGAGCUUUUCCGGACAUUUUUUGUUGGUGGAUAUGUGACAAUUUGUUGGUGGAUCUGUGACAACCCUGUCCUGGCAUCUGGGAGUAUAUGGUUUUUUUUGGGGGUAAAACUACAUGCGGGGAACAGAGCACAGUUGCUUAAAAUGUGAAGUCUCGGAUCUUCUACUGCAAGCGCAUAACCUUCAUUUCUUCAAAAGAACAAUUCCUAAAGUAUCGGUAGCUGGUGGAUAGGAAUUGGACAUUGUGCGUCUGACACUUGAUGAAAUCCCUACACUACUCUACUAGUAUGUAUUAUAAAACAUUUACAUCACAAUAUCUGGUUAUAUAUAUCAUUUAAGCACUGUUUUGUUACUUGAGUUAAUGCUUACCAUCUACACCUUAAAUAGUGUUUGCAAGCAGGAAAGCAGUAUUAUAGUUAUUCAUGUUGUGCUGGAUGCUGGUGACGAUGCAUAUUCGCUGCCCGUGUGACUGAUUUACCUGUAGAAGUAGUACUAAGUAGUACUGUUGACUGAUACAUAUUCGCUGCUCCUUAACUGUUUGAUUGAUUUUCUAAACUUGUAAAAGCUUUAUAUAUAAGUCUGUUAAUUGACUAUGUGUUGAUUGAUUUACAUGAAGAAGUUAUCGUGCCUUUUACCUGAUGUGCGGUUGUACCUGUACCAAAUGGAAUUGAUGCUCUUACAAGUUACAAUCUGAUGAACCUACGUUUUAAAAAAAUGAACCUAUGUUUGGUCAUGGUUGCAUAUUUCCUACCCAGUACUAUGUGAUUGAUUUUCUAAACCUAUACAAGCUUUAUUUAUAUCUGUGACUACUGGUUGAUUUACAUGAACAUUAUGUACGCCUUUACCUGAUGAACCUGUACUGCUGCUUUACUGCUUACCUGUCCUGCUGCUUUAAUGUAAAUUGUUUCUCUUGUAAUAUGGUGGAACCUACAUUUACUCUGUUUUUCUGAAUAACUAGAGUGAUGUUAAUGAAUUUAAUUUUAAUUACCGUAGUUAUUGUCAUUAUGUCAAAAGUAAAGAUCACCAAGAUAAAGAGAAUCAAAUGUUCAAUUAGCAAUUUCCUUUUGUGGGUAGCGGAUGUUUUGGUUAUCUGUUUGAUUGUUCAGUCCUGGAAGUGACGCGAGCACGCAUGAAUCGGAAGGCCAGCAUUAUUUUAUUCUCAAAUCAGGAUGAGCUUUUCUUUGCACAUUUGGCGCCCUAUAAUUUGUUGGUGGAUAUGUGACAAUCCCGUACUGCCAUCUGGGAGUAUAUGGUUUUUUGUCCGGGUAAAACUACAUGCGAGAAACAUAGCACAGUUGCUUAAAAUGUGAAGGCUCGGAUCUUCUACUGCAAGCGCAUAACCUUCAUUUCUUCAAAAGAAUGAUUCCUAAUAUAUCGGUGGCUGGUGGACAGGAAUUGGACAUUGUGCAUCUAACACUUGAUGAAAUCCCUACACUACUCUAUGUAUUAUUAAACAUUUACAUCACAUAUCUAGUUACAUGCAUCAUUUGUUACUUCAGUUAAUGCUUACCAUCUUGCGUGGCUGGCAAUUCAAAAUAGAAUCUGGACGGCAGACUGGUUGGCUAGAAGGGGAUGGCCAAACUGUGGCAAUUGCCCGCUCUGUAUGAGGGAACCGGAAAUCGUGGAGCACCUUUUCUUCCGCUGUCGUUUCUCCCUCAGGCUUUGGGCAUGGUGAGAGACUGGCUACAUCUUGUGAGCUUGGAUAUGUCCCUCUGGGCUACUUACAGAAACAUCAAGGAUUGGUGGUAUGACAUGGUUUCCAUCCAAAGGAUCCAUGGAAGGGCAAUGGCUUCGCUCACUAUGCUAGUAUGUAAGACGAUCUGGGACGAGAGGAAUGCAAGGGUCUUUCGCAGCAAGUCGCCCCCCCCCCCAACUAUUCUUCUUCGAACCAUCAAGGGAGCGGCGGGGCUUUGGGCGACCGCGGGAGCAAAGAUUUUGGGGCACAUCCUACCGGGAGAGUAGUGUUUUUCCUGUUUUUGCUCUCCCCUUUGGGGGGCUUUUUUCUUUCUCUGAAAACAUUGUCAGACUUCUUCCUCUCUUAAUUAAUGAAAAGGGGCAAAACAUUUGCCCCAUGUUUAAAAAAAAGUGUUUUGUGAGCAGGAAAGCAGUAUUACGUUAUCCAUGUUGUGUUGGAUGCUGGUGACUCAUGCAUAUUCGCACCACCUGUGACUGGUUUACCUGUAGAAGCUUUAUAGAACUGUUGACUGAUACAUAUUUGCUGAUCCUUAAACUGUGUGAUUGAUUUUCUAAACUUGUAAGUCUGUUAAUUGACUAUGUACUGAUUGAUUUUACCUGCAGAGUGCUGCUGCUUACUGUUUACCUGCACAGUGCUGCUGCUUCAGUGUACCUGUACCAACUGGAAUUGUUGCUCUUACAAUCUGAUGAACCUAUGUUUAGUCAUGGUUGAAUAUUCUGUGUGAUUGAUUUUCUAAACCUAUAGGACCUUUAUUUAUAUCUGUGACUACUGGGUUUUUUCGAUAACUUAUCUGUGACUACUGGUUGAUUUACAUUUAGAACCUUAUGUGCGCCUUUACCUGAUGAAACUGUCCUGCUGCUUUACUGUUUACCUGUACUGCACUGCUUUAGUGCUUACAUGUCCUGCUGUUUUAAUGUAAAUUGUUUCUCUUGUAAUAUGAUGGAACCUACAUUUACUCUGUUUUUUCUGAAUAACUAGAGUGAUGUUAAUGAAUUUAAAUUUUAAUUACUAUAGUUAUUGUCAUUAUGGAAACUUUGUUCAUUCAAAAGUAAAGAGCACCAAGAUAAAUAGAAUCAAAUGUUCAAUUAGCAAUUUCCUUUUGCAAAAACAUGCUCAUGGAUGCAACGGUCUGAUAUUGCUUUGUCUUUGCAGGCCAUGGCCGUACCGUUUGGAGGAGGAGCAGUGGCUGCUGCAGCUGUCGUGGCUGGCGGGGGAGAACCUUGGUACUGCCCAAAGUGUCGCCAUUACCUGAGAGGCAAUAAAGCAGAGCAUGAAAAGAAACAUGAGUACGAUAAAAAGAAGAAAGAAGAAUUCGUCCGCAAGACUAAGGAGGAGAACAUCAAGAAGAGUGGGAAAGCUGGUGGAAACAAGGGAUGUAACAAGGGCUCCAACUAUGGGAAGCUCAGCAAAAUUUGCAAGUAAAGCUACAUCAAAAAAGGCAUGCCUAAGUUAGCAGAGCCACAAGCGGCUGAAUAUGGAUAACAAGUUUCAGAGCUAUGUUUUGAUCAGUCGACAGUAAUACCCCAAUGUUAUUGCUGUAAUAGGCUAGUUUCGCUUUCUAGCAACUUAGCAACCGAAAUUUUGAUGUGCGUGCAUAGAUCUAGAUACAUGGAAACAUAUGCCGCGAUCUAGAUACAUAGAGGUUUAUGUUGGAAAUCUGAGCAAUUUACCGAAUGAUUUUAUUAACAGAAAUACUAGAUAAAGCA
This is a long non-coding RNA of Triticum aestivum (bread wheat), 6745 nucleotides long. RefSeq lists it as uncharacterized. NCBI's taxonomy places the organism in Eukaryota, Viridiplantae, Streptophyta, Magnoliopsida, Poales, Poaceae. The transcript has 3 exons. The record is from RefSeq and is a predicted model, not a curated record.